AACGAACGCUGGCGGCAUGCCUAACACAUGCCAGUCGAACGAAGGCUUCGGCCUUAGUGGCGCACGGGUGCGUAACGCGUGGGAAUCUGCCCUUUGCUUCGGAAUAACAGUUAGAAAUGACUGCUAAUACCGGAUGAUGUCGCAAGACCAAAGAUUUAUCGGCAAAGGAUGAGCCCGCGUAGGAUUAGCUAGUUGGUGGGGUAAAGGCCUACCAAGGCGACGAUCCUUAGCUGGUCUGAGAGGAUGAUCAGCCACACUGGGACUGAGACACGGCCCAGACCCCUACGGGAGGAAGCAGGGGGGAAAAUUGGACAAGGGGCGAAAGCCUGAUCCAGCAAUGCCGGGUGAGUGAUGAAGGCCUUAGGGUUGUAAAGCUCUUUUACCCGGGAUGAUAAGGACAGUACCGGGAGAAUAAGCCCCGGCUAACUCCGG
Molecule: ribosomal RNA, 432 nt
Filed under: uncultured bacterium
Lineage: Bacteria
Description: partial 16S ribosomal RNA
Rfam family: Bacterial small subunit ribosomal RNA
Source: RNAcentral